This 2302-nucleotide long non-coding RNA is filed under the name Mus musculus (house mouse). RNAcentral describes it as "RIKEN cDNA 2610307P16 gene". The record is from RNAcentral. Lineage: Eukaryota; Metazoa; Chordata; Mammalia; Rodentia; Muridae.
AGGGAGGGGAGGGAGAGAGGAGGAAGGGGUGAGAGGGAGAAACCUGCCGCGGCUCUCCGCCUCUUUGUCUGCUCUGGGACUUGGAACAAAAGGGGAAACUCUGAUGAACUCCUUCUCCAGCUCCCUGGACGCCCGAGUAUCUCUUUCUCGCAACUUUGUCAACGCGACUUUCUCCGCUGUCAGGCUGCGCAAAAGUAUCCUAGCGCCUCGCAGGCUGCAACAAUGGAAACAAUGUCCCUUCAAAGUGCGACGAAGUGGAGGGAGAAGGUGUCAUACCAGCGACUCCAAGAGUCAUGUCACCCACUUAGCAGGAGUACUUCUACUGAAAUGCCUUCGAAUUUCUCUUACUGGAUAUAUACCUACCAGCCGCUAGCAUGAAGAUGCCAGGACCGCUGCAAGUUAGCACUGGACAAAGUAGCAUCAACUUCUUCAUUUAGAGUUUCUUCAGUUAAAUUGCUGGGAUUUUCGACAAGGCUUUCCUUAUGUGGAUUAUUGGAGUGUGAUGCCCGAGAAUUCUCUACUUGUAGAAGCACGCCCACGGGACUGCAGAAGCCUUCACACCCACCCAGCACGCUCAGAUCAUCCAGUAACCAACCCAGGAAGUUCUUGUAAGCAUGCAUUUCUUAGUCAACACUGAAUGCCUUUAGACCGAGGUCAACCUUUUCAGCUGGUACCGUGGUUUACACUGCUGAUGGGAAUGAGUGAUGGCCAUCCAGUGACCAGCUGGAUCUGACUGCCUUACAAGACGCAUGUGUAUGAUUAAGAGAGAGACAUUCGUGACUCCCAGAUGUACCUCCUUCCUGUCCCACAGUGUUCCUGAAGGGAGUGAGUUAUGGGGUAACUUAUAACACAGCAGGCUCUUCCUCAAGAUAGCUCUUGUCAAAACAGGAAGACGAAACUCGGGUUUCCAUGAGGAGACCACAGCUUGGGAUCCUGUCUGGAUGUACAAGCAGAAGCAUCUUCAUACUUUUCCAUUUCUAACCAUCAUGCCUCACCCCACCCUCCCAAGGCGACAUCUGCAGAGAGGUGGAACCAUCUAGGGAGGCCUGCCACUGUUUGCUGAGCUCCGGGUGAGGAUGAAGACACUUUGACAUGGCCAGCUUCAGACUCGGGAUCUGUCGGUGUUAGCAGCCGAAGGAGAAUGAGGAGGAAGAGGAGGAGAAAGAGGAGGAGGAAGUAAGACAGAGGGGGACAAGAGGACCAAGAGGGCACAUGGCUGAGGAGGAGGAGAACAACAACAACAACAACAACAACAACAACAACAAGAAGCUUGGUGGUGAAACUUGGAAGCCCUCUCCAGGAUGCAGCAGGUAGCUGAGGAGAAAACGAAGACUGACCAGCCCAGAGCUCAGAGCUUCCUCCCAUGCUCAGGAUUUACCACCAAUGCCAUUACAUCGGCCUCUUCUUGUAUGCCUCUGGAAACCACAUGUGUCCUCUGUUUGUAAUGGUUUGGCUAUGGUUGCUGGCCCCUCUUGGACAUUGUUUUCAGAACUUAAAGAAACAUUGCUUUAAAGAUUUAUUAGAACAUAUUUAAAAUAAAACCAUCUUCUCAUUUAGUAUGCAAUUGAUUCUUCCCAUUUCCUCAGUCAAAACUCAUUGAUCAAAUUUAUUUGAGAAAUCCAGACAUGUAUAUAGCGUAUUGGGGUUAUUCCCAUCCUCCCCCAUAUUCUCUUAUCUCCCUUCCAGCCCUGACGCCCUCAGUCCUCCCUAUGGGCCUAUUCACACAAUCAUGUCUUUUUGUUUUAUGAACCAUUGAUUUUAACCGGGGCCAUCUGUGUUGCCAUGGCUUUAGAAUUAUCUACUGGAACUGGUUGGCUCAAAAUAGACAAAGACUUUCCCUUCCCCCAAGUCCAUCAUAGCUAGGAAUUCAGUCCCUCCGGUCCCCUCCCCAAUUCAUAAUUGACUGUUAGAAAGCCUAGUUUAAUGCAGGCCCUGUGUAGGUACCCAUAGCUACUGUGAGGUCACACCUGAAGAUGUGAAGCCCUUUUCCCUGUCUUCCAUUUCCACUUCUGUGUUCCCUGAGCCCUAGAUGGGAUAGUAUGAAUGUUCUGAUAAUCCGACCAAGUGGUAGUAUAUGUGUUCACUUAGAUAAAACAAAGACAAUACCAAUAGGAAAUGUAUUAUAAGCCCUGCACAUGCUAAAAAUAUAUGUAGCAAAUAACAUUAUUAUAUAAAUUCAGGGUCAUUGCUCUAUGUCAAUGUCAGUGACGUAUCAGUUUCAAAGGAUUUAUAUCACUGUUAAGUUAGAAAUAAUCCACUCUUGCUUGUUGUACAGUGCAUUUGUCCAGAUAGCCUACAAAAA